UUUAUAUUCAAACGUUGCCCGAAAUUUCGUUAAAUUGUAGCGCUCAAUUAGGUACCAUCAGUUAAAUUUAUCAGCUCUACUAAUUCAAGAUGCUAGCUGUGGAGUUGGAUGCACUGUCCCAAUUCAGCGAAACAAGCAUUGCCGCUAAAGAGUCGGCGGCACAGUGGUGUCACAUAUCAAGAUUACAUUCAAGAGAGUAUGUUCGAAAUACUAUGUCUGAUACUUCACCUAUACGGUAUAAG
Molecule: long non-coding RNA, 242 nt
Organism: Cydia strobilella
Lineage: Eukaryota; Metazoa; Arthropoda; Insecta; Lepidoptera; Tortricidae
Exons: 3
Source: RefSeq, a predicted model, not a curated record